UACGUAGGGUGCAAGCGUUAAUCGGAAUUACUGGGCGUAAAGCGUGCGCAGGCGGUUGUGCAAGACCGAUGUGAAAUCCCCGGGGCUUAACCUGGGAAUGGCAUUGGUGACUGCACGGCUAGAGUGUGUCAGAGGGGGGUAGAAUUCCACGUGUAGCAGUGAAAUGCGUAGAGAUGUGGAGGAAUACCGAUGGCGAAGGCAGCCCCCUGGGAUAACACUGACGCUCAUGCACGAAAGCGUGGGGAGCAAACAGG
Molecule: ribosomal RNA, 254 nt
Filed under: uncultured bacterium
Lineage: Bacteria
Description: partial 16S ribosomal RNA
Rfam family: Bacterial small subunit ribosomal RNA
Source: RNAcentral